AUUGAACGCUGGCGGCAUGCCUUACACAUGCAAGUCGGACGGUAACAGGCCGCAAGGUGCUGACGAGUGGCGAACGGGUGAGUAAUGCAUCGGAACGUGCCCAGUCGUGGGGGAUAACGCAGCGAAAGCUGUGCUAAUACCGCAUACGAUCUAUGGAUGAAAGCGGGGGACCGUAAGGCCUCGCGCGAUUGGAGCGGCCGAUGUCAGAUUAGGUAGUUGGUGGGGUAAAGGCCCACCAAGCCAACGAUCUGUAGCUGGUCUGAGAGGACGACCAGCCACACUGGGACUGAGACACGGCCCAGACUCCUACGGGAGGCAGCAGUGGGGAAUUUUGGACAAUGGGCGCAAGCCUGAUCCAGCAAUGCCGCGUGCAGGAAGAAGGCCUUCGGGUUGUAAACUGCUUUUGUACGGAACGAAAAGGUUUGGGUUAAUACCCUGGGCCGAUGACGGUACCGUAAGAAUAAGCACCGGCUAACUACGUGCCAGCAGCCGCCGUAA
Molecule: ribosomal RNA, 498 nt
Filed under: uncultured bacterium
Lineage: Bacteria
Description: partial 16S ribosomal RNA
Rfam family: Bacterial small subunit ribosomal RNA
Source: RNAcentral